UAUGGCUUUCUUUUCCUGUGUG
RNAcentral lists this microRNA (22 nucleotides) under Ciona intestinalis (vase tunicate). RNAcentral describes it as "cin-miR-135-5p". Its record names the gene cin-miR-135-5p. The record is from miRBase by way of RNAcentral. Lineage: Eukaryota; Metazoa; Chordata; Ascidiacea; Phlebobranchia; Cionidae.